This 468-nucleotide ribosomal RNA is filed under the name uncultured bacterium. Its description in RNAcentral is "partial 16S ribosomal RNA". It matches the Rfam family "Bacterial small subunit ribosomal RNA", at positions 28 to 507 of the family's 1533-position model. The record is from RNAcentral.
GACGAACGCUGGCGGCGUGCUUAACACAUGCAAGUCGAACGGAAAGGCCCUGCUUUUGUGGGGUGCUCGAGUGGCGAACGGGUGAGUAACACGUGAGUAACCUGCCCUUGACUUUGGGAUAACUUCAGGAAACUGGGGCUAAUACCGGAUAGGAGCUCCUGCUGCAUGGUGGGGGUUGGAAAGUUUCGGCGGUUGGGGAUGGACUCGCGGCUUAUCAGCUUGUUGGUGGGGUAGUGGCUUACCAAGGCUUUGACGGGUAGCCGGCCUGAGAGGGUGACCGGCCACAUUGGGACUGAGAUACGGACCAGACUCCUACGGGCGGCAGCAGUGGGGAAUAUUGCACAAUGGGCGGAAGCCUGAUGCAGCAACGCCGCGUGCGGGAUGACGGCCUUCGGGUUGUAAACCGCUUUCGCCUGUGACGAAGCGUGAGUGACGGUAAUGGGUAAAGAAGCAACGGCUAACUACGUG